CCUACGGGGGGCUGCAGUGGGGAAUAUUGGACAAUGGGGGCAACCCUGAUCCAGCCAUGCCGCGUGUGUGAAGAAGGCCCUCGGGUUGUAAAGCACUUUCAGUGAGGAAGAACGCCUGGUGGUUAAUACCCAUCAGGAAAGACAUCACUCACAGAAGAAGCACCGGCUAACUCCGUGCCAGCAGCCGCGGUAAUACGGAGGGUGCGAGCGUUAAUCGGAAUUACUGGGCGUAAAGCGCGCGUAGGUGGCUUGAUAAGCCGGUUGUGAAAGCCCCGGGCUCAACCUGGGAACGGCAUCCGGAACUGUCAAGCUAGAGUGCAGGAGAGGAAGGUAGAAUUCCAGGUGUAGCGGUGAAAUGCGUAGAGAUCGGGAGGAAUACCAGUGGCGAAGGCGGCCUUCUGGACUGACACUGACACUGAGGUGCGAAAGCGUGGGUAGCAAACAGGAUUAGAUACCCCAGUAGUC
Molecule: ribosomal RNA, 465 nt
Filed under: Vreelandella stevensii
Lineage: Bacteria; Pseudomonadati; Pseudomonadota; Gammaproteobacteria; Oceanospirillales; Halomonadaceae
Description: partial 16S ribosomal RNA
Rfam family: Bacterial small subunit ribosomal RNA
Source: RNAcentral